RNAcentral lists this transfer RNA (87 nucleotides) under Paracoccaceae bacterium. RNAcentral's name for it is "Rhodobacteraceae bacterium tRNA-Leu". It matches the Rfam family "tRNA". From Rfam's summary of the family: Transfer RNA (tRNA) molecules are approximately 80 nucleotides in length. Their secondary structure includes four short double-helical elements and three loops (D, anti-codon, and T loops). Further hydrogen bonds mediate the characteristic L-shaped molecular structure. tRNAs have two regions of fundamental functional importance: the anti-codon, which is responsible for specific mRNA codon recognition, and the 3' end, to which the tRNAs corresponding amino acid is attached (by aminoacyl-tRNA synthetases). tRNAs cope with the degeneracy of the genetic code in two manners: having more than one tRNA (with a specific anti-codon) for a particular amino acid; and 'wobble' base-pairing, i.e. permitting non-standard base-pairing at the 3rd anti-codon position. The record is from RNAcentral. Lineage: Bacteria; Pseudomonadati; Pseudomonadota; Alphaproteobacteria; Rhodobacterales; Paracoccaceae.
GCCCGAAUGGCGGAAUUGGUAGACGCAGGGGACUCAAAAUCCCCCGGCCUUGCGGCUGUGCGAGUUCGAGUCUCGCUUCGGGCACCA